This 69-nucleotide transfer RNA is filed under the name Grandisonia alternans. Its description in RNAcentral is "tRNA-Ala". It matches the Rfam family "tRNA". From Rfam's summary of the family: Transfer RNA (tRNA) molecules are approximately 80 nucleotides in length. Their secondary structure includes four short double-helical elements and three loops (D, anti-codon, and T loops). RNAcentral also lists the same sequence under 1 other name. The record is from RNAcentral. Lineage: Eukaryota; Metazoa; Chordata; Amphibia; Gymnophiona; Indotyphlidae.
AAGGCUUUAGCUUAAUUAAAGUGUUUGGGUUGCAUUCAAAAGAUGUAAGAUAGGGUCUUGCAAGUCUUA